This 468-nucleotide ribosomal RNA is filed under the name uncultured bacterium. Its description in RNAcentral is "partial 16S ribosomal RNA". It matches the Rfam family "Bacterial small subunit ribosomal RNA", at positions 28 to 507 of the family's 1533-position model. The record is from RNAcentral.
GACGAACGCUGGCGGCGCGCCUAACACAUGCAAGUCGAACGGAGUCAAGAGGAGCUUGCUUUUCUUGACUUAGUGGCGAACGGGUGAGUAACGCGUGAGUAACCUGCCCUGGAGUGGUGGACAACAGUUGGAAACGACUGCUAAUACCGCAUAAGCCCACGGAUCCGCAUGGAUCUGCGGGAAAAGGAUUUAUUCGCUUCAGGAUGGACUCGCGUCCAAUUAGCUAGUUGGUGAGGUAACGGCCCACCAAGGCGACGAUUGGUAGCCGGACUGAGAGGUUGAACGGCCACAUUGGGACUGAGACACGGCCCAGACUCCUACGGGAGGCAGCAGUGGGGGAUAUUGCACAAUGGGGGAAACCCUGAUGCAGCGACGCCGCGUGGAGGAAGAAGGUUUUCGGAUUGUAAACUCCUGUCGUUAGGGACGAUAAUGACGGUACCUAACAAGAAAGCACCGGCUAACUACGUG